GAAUAUUGGACAAUGGGCGAAAGCCUGAUCCAGCCAUGCCGCGUGUGUGAAGAUGGUCUUCGGUUUGUAAAGCAUUUUUAGUUGGGAGGAAGGGCAGUAAGCGGUUACCUUGUUGAUUUGACGUUACUGACAGAAUAAGCACCUGCUAUCUGUGCGCCAGCAUCCGCGGUAAUACAGCGGUGGCAAGCGUUAAUCGGAAUGACUGGGCGUAAAGGGCGGGGUGGGGGGUCGUUAAGUUGGAUGUGAAAUCCCCGGGCUCAACCUGGGAACUGCAUCCAAGAAUGGCGAGCUAGAGUAGGGCAGAGGGUGGUGGAAUUUCCUGUGUAGCGGUGAAAUGCGUAGAUAUAGGAAGGAACACCAGUGGCGAAGGCGACCACCUGGGCUCAUACUGACACUGAGGUGCGAAAGCGUGGGGAGCAAACAG
This 424-nucleotide ribosomal RNA is filed under the name uncultured bacterium. RNAcentral describes it as "partial 16S ribosomal RNA". It matches the Rfam family "Bacterial small subunit ribosomal RNA", at positions 359 to 775 of the family's 1533-position model. The record is from RNAcentral.